RNAcentral lists this ribosomal RNA (649 nucleotides) under uncultured bacterium. Its description in RNAcentral is "bacterial SSU rRNA". It matches the Rfam family "Bacterial small subunit ribosomal RNA", at positions 62 to 684 of the family's 1533-position model. The record is from RNAcentral.
UCGAACGAUUACUAGUGGGUAGCAAUAUUCGCUAGUGAGAGUGGCGCAAGGGUGCGUAACACGUGGGUAAUUUGCCGUGAAGUCUGGAAUAACUUGCUGAAAGGCGAGCUAAUACCGGAUGUGAUUACUGGGAGGCAUCUUCUGGUACUUAAAGUCGGGGACCGCAAGGCCUGACACUUCUCGAUAAGCCCGCGGCCUAUCAGCUAGUUGGUGAGGUAACGGCUCACCAAGGCUAAGACGGGUAGCUGGUCGGAGAGGACGACCAGCCACACUGGAACUGAGACACGGUCCAGACACCUACGGGUGGCAGCAGUCGAGAAUUUUUCUCAAUGGGGGAAACCCUGAAGGAGCGACGCCGCGUGGGGGAUGAAUGGCUUCGGCCCGUAAACCCCAGUCAUUUGCGAUCAAACCUUACGACCUAACACGUCGUAAGCUGAUAGUAGCGGAAGAGGAAGGGACGGCUAACUCUGUGCCAGCAGCCGCGGUAAUACAGAGGUCCCAAGCGUUGUUCGGAUUCACUGGGCGUAAAGGGUGCGUAGGCGGUCGGGUAAGUCUGACGUGAAAUCUUCAAGCUCAACUUGGAAACUGCGUCGGAUACUAUUCGGCUAGAGGAAUGGAGGGGAGACUGGAAUACUUGGUGUAGCAGUGA